Molecule: ribosomal RNA, 1331 nt
Filed under: uncultured fungus
Lineage: Eukaryota; Fungi
Description: eukaryotic LSU rRNA
Rfam family: Eukaryotic large subunit ribosomal RNA (bases 643-1331)
Source: RNAcentral
AGUCGUAACAAGGUUUCCGUAGGUGAGCCUGCGGAAGGAUCAUUAUUGAAAUAAACCUGAUGAGUUGUUGCUGGUUCUCUAGAGAGCAUUGUGCACGCUUGUCAUCUUUAUGUCUCCACCUGUGCACAUUUUGUAGACCUGGAUCACUCUCUGAAAUGCUAACCAGCAUUUUAGGUUGGAGGAAUUUGACUUUGUUGUCUUUCCUUGCAUUUCUAGGUCUAUGUUUUUUCAUAUAAUCUUAUUGUGAUAUAAUGGGCCCUAUAUAAUAUAAACUUAUACAACUUUCAGCAACGGAUCUCUUGGCUCUCGCAUCGAUGAAGAACGCAGCGAAAUGCGAUAAGUAAUGUGAAUUGCAGAAUUCAGUGAAUCAUCGAAUCUUUGAACGCACCUUGCGCUCCUUGGUAUUCCGAGGAGCAUGCCUGUUUGAGUGUCAUUAAUAUAUCAACCUCUUUAAAUUUUGAGAGUGUUUGGAUGUGGGGGNUGUUAUUUUGCUGGCCUUCUCCAAGGUCAGCUCCCCUGAAAUGUAUUAGCGGAACAAUUUGCUGACCGUUCAUUGGUGUGAUAGCAUAUCUAUGCUAUUGACGUAAAGCAAGUUCAGCUUAUAACAGUCCAUUGACUUGGACAAUUCUCUAUUUAUUAAUGUGACCUCAAAUCAGGUAGGACUACCCGCUGAACUUAAGCNUNUCAAUAAGCGGNGNAAAAGNAACUNNCNANGGAUUCCCCUAGUACUGCGAGUGAAGCGGGAAAAGCUCAAAUUUAAAAUCUGUCAGUCUUUGGCUGUCCGAGUUGUAAUCUAGAGAAGUGUUAUCCGCGCUGGACCGUGUACAAGUCUCCUGGAAUGGAGCGUCAUAGAGGGUGAGAAUCCCGUCUUUGACACGGACUGCCAGGGCUUUUGUGAUGCGCUCUCAAAGAGUCGAGUUGUUUGGGAAUGCAGCUCAAAAUGGGUGGUAAAUUCCAUCUAAAGCUAAAUAUUGGCGAGAGACCGAUAGCGAACAAGUACCGUGAGGGAAAGAUGAAAAGAACUUUGGAAAGAGAGUUAAACAGUACGUGAAAUUGCUGAAAGGGAAACGCUUGAAGUCAGUCGCGUCAUUCAGGGAUCAACCUUGCUUUUGCUUGGUGUACUUUCUGGUUGACGGGUCAGCAUCAAUUUUGACCAUUGGAAAAAGAUUAAGGGAAUGUGGCAUACAUAGUGAUGUGUUAUAGCCCUUGGUUGCAUACAAUGGUUGGGAUUGAGGAACUCAGCACGCCGCAAGGCCGGGUUUUUAUUAACCACGUACGUGCUUAGGAUGUUGGCAUAAUGGCUUUAAUCGACCCGUCUUGAAACACGGACC